RNAcentral lists this ribosomal RNA (506 nucleotides) under uncultured bacterium. RNAcentral's name for it is "partial 16S ribosomal RNA". It matches the Rfam family "Bacterial small subunit ribosomal RNA", at positions 28 to 507 of the family's 1533-position model. The record is from RNAcentral.
GACGAACGCUGGCGGCGUGCUUAACACAUGCAAGUCGAACGGGCCUUGUCCCCCUUUUUUGGGGGUGGGGUUAGUGGCGAACGGGUGAGUAACACGUGAGUAACCUGCCCCUCACUUCUGGAUAACCGCUUGAAAGGGUGGCUAAUACGGGGUGUUCUGGCCUGCUCGCAUGGGUGGGUUUGGAAAGAUUCGACCGGUUUUGGUUGUUUUGGUGGGGGAUGGGCUCGCGGCCUAUCAGCUUGUUGGUGGGGUGAUGGCCUGCCAAGGCUUUGACGGGUAGCCGGCCUGAGAGGGUGGGCGGUCACACUGGGACUGAGACACGGCCCAGACUCCUACGGGAGGCAGCAGUGGGGAAUAUUGCACAAUGGGCGCGAGCCUGAUGCAGCGACGCCGCGUGAGGGAUGGAGGCCUUCGGGUUGUGAACCUCUUUCGCCAGUGAAGAAGGUCCUGCUCUUUGUGGUGGGGUUGACGGUAGCUGGGUUAAUGAAGCGCCGGCUAACUACGUG